UACAGAGGUCCCAAGCGUUGUUCGGAUUCACUGGGCGUAAAGGGUGCGUAGGUGGUUAGGUAAGUCCGAUGUGAAAUCUCCAGGCUCAACCUGGAAAUGGCAUUGGAUACUAUCUAGCUUGAGGAGUGGAGGGGGGACUGGAAUUCUCGGUGUAGCAGUGAAAUGCGUAGAUAUCGAGAGGAACACCAGUGGCGAAGGCGAGUCCCUGGACACUUCCUGACACUGAGGCACGAAAGCGUGGGUAGCAAACAGG
RNAcentral lists this ribosomal RNA (253 nucleotides) under uncultured bacterium. RNAcentral's name for it is "partial 16S ribosomal RNA". It matches the Rfam family "Bacterial small subunit ribosomal RNA", at positions 524 to 776 of the family's 1533-position model. The record is from RNAcentral.